Molecule: ribosomal RNA, 89 nt
Filed under: Parahaemophilus parainfluenzae
Lineage: Bacteria; Pseudomonadati; Pseudomonadota; Gammaproteobacteria; Pasteurellales; Pasteurellaceae
Source: RNAcentral
CCUGACUCCAUACCGAACUCAGAAGUGAAACGCCGAUGCGCCGAUGGUAGUGUGGGGCUUCCCCAUGUGAGAGUAGGACACCGCCAGGU